UCAUGUGCUCGUACGGCCACCCACGUGCUCCACCCGCUCCUGCAAGUUUGGAUCCCCCGGGUGCGGGCCGGCAGAGGGGCUUGCUGGACGUGUGGCCUGCUGGUUGGCGUCUCUGCCUGUCUGUCUGUCUGUCUGUCUGUCUGUGUGAUGUCGUGGGGGGGGUGGCGGGGGAACCCCAGGGCAAUGUGGAGAGGGGUGGGAAGGGAUGUGUGUGCCUGUGUUACGGUAGGUCAACACAUCCAGAUGGGUGUGGAACCCUACAUGCGUCUGUGAUGUGUAGUUGUGUGCGUGGAAACACGUGUGUGCCGACUCCGUGCUGUCAGGAAGAAGUUCAGGCGCGGUGCUGAGCGCGGAGGUGCUGACCCGUGAGGUCAGGACAACAGGUUGUGGUCGGUAGCGGCUUGGCAGCCACGGAAAGGUUUUAGGCACGCAGAGACGAGGAGGUGGGGCCGACAAAUUCCUAGAAGCUAGUAGCAGGUGCGGGCAGCAUCGUUGUUGUCGGUAGGUACCGUCUUGUGGGCUGUGUACACUGAAGAGGCUUAAAGGGAAAACAAUUGCAGAAACGUACGAAAGGGAUGGUGGAGAAAGAAAAAUCGCUGGUUAAAGCGACGAGGUGCAAGGUAGUUUUGAAGCAGCGGAGGCGGUGGUGGCGGCGGCUGCUACGAGAGCACGUCACGGUAUUUUGGUGUGUGUUGCAGUCAUCGCCGCCAUCGUCGAAACAGGUAGCACAGAUCGGCAUCGUCAUAACCGUUAUGGCCAGAGCUGUUGGUCCCAGAGGUGCAACCAGCUAGGCGAGAGCAUGUAGAUGAGUCCCUCCGUAGAUGAGUCCCUUUGGUGGUGUCGGGGGUCAGCCCUUUGGUAGUUAGUCUCUGGCAGAGCCGCGCAGCACUACCCGGCGGGAAAAAGGACGCCAGGACGCCUAUCCGGAGAGCAUUCCGUGGCUCUGUCAGUCCGAUGUUACGUCUUUCAGUUUCUGUCGGCAGGUUCCUCAGGGCUCAGGGCUCAGGGGUCUCAACGAGGGAGGCCUGCUGCCUGCAUGCUGAUGCUUUUCAGAGGAGGGAGAGGAGGUACGGCGACUUUUGUUUUUUUGCAUCGCCAAAAGCAACGCCGCAGCCCACUUGUGCUUUUUCCCUCAGGCACACCUAAUACUUGCAGAGUCAUAAUCACGACAUGCGGACAUAAUUAUACAUACGUACGGAGAUGCAUGCAUGUUCACUGCGUGUGAGUGCAUUCGAGCUACCGGGCAGCCGUACAGAUCACCCGUGGCAGCCCCCAUCAGACCAUCUGAGAGCUGGUUUAGACCGGGAAAGGCCCUUCCAUGUAACUAUGCCAGGAAUAUUACCUGCAAGCUUUUUGGCUUGCAGAGAGAGAAACGAGUAACCAGGCAAGCUACGAGUGCCAACAUGUCAAAAGGAAAUCAACGGUCAUCCAAAAUCAGCAGUCAGUUGCCGUCACCAGAACUCCCUCCUCUCUCGCAUGUAUUGAUACGAAACGGCAACUGUGUAAGUUCGCAGUGAACUUGCAGUACAAGCAGGGCAUGCCAUAAUCCUCAGCCUCCACCGAUCAUUCCAACGUACUUCCUACUAUUUCUGCACGAAUCAUUAAUGUAGGUGUAACAGUCCUCCUAUUGAAUGGUCCUUUGUUUAUGAGCGUACCGCCGACAUGCAUACGGCCAUUCGAAAUGCUCUCACGCUCAAAACAAGCAACCACAGUUAUAAAUCUCUUAUAUUUAGGGCGAGCACCAGGUGGUGCAUUCGCUGCAUAGCUGGGAGGUUUGCCAACAACUUGCCGUUUGCGCAGGUGUCAAAGGAGGGCAGCAAAGUCCUCUGCUGCCCUAGGGUUAAUCUGCGAUGUGCGCUGCGCAAUUCCUUAAGAGAAUAAUCACUCGUAAAACCACAACCACAAACACACCUACAACUCAAACUGAAACCAAUACGGCGCAACAAUUCAUGGGGCAGCACUGCUACCUUUAGGGUGUAUUUCCAGUGCGGAUUAAGGCCAGGGAUUAACCCUCUGUCCUCCAUCGAUACUUGCUCAAACGGCUAAGUUGUUGGCAAACUUACCUCGCCUUUUCAACCUUUGGUUCCCUUAUGGAACAAAACUAUGUGGUAAGCUCGUACCAAGGACUUCCGUGCGCUAAUCCCUGGCCUUAAUCCGCACUGGAAAUGCACCCUUACUCACUCCGAAGUCUCCAACACUCCAUGAUGCAAAUAGUUAAGCCGCUUUAUAUCUGACACGACACAACCACGUCAUUCCUCACCCGCCUACUCCUUGACGGCCGUGAAAGGCCGCCUACUCCAUGACGGCGUGUGGGUGUGUAGAUUUAUGCGUGGGAGUUUGCGGAUCUAUGCCUGUUUGUCCGCGCACUAGGGUCCGGUCUAUGUACAGCAAACGAUGAGAUGAGGCCUCUUUGGCCAGAAGAAAGCCAGCGGCAGGCUGGGGCUUUCUGUGUGCAGGCCCAACGCUUUCCACUUCCCAAGAUGGGCCUCAUGCAGGGUGUCACCUCAGAGCAUCCUUCGCCAGGUCCCCCCAUUCACGCGCAAGAAGGGUACACAAUACAGCCUUUGCGGUGCGGUGUCGUGUCGUCCAGAUAACCGAUACUAACAUAUACUUUACUAUCCUUUCAAUCAGUGCUUUUGCCUGGAUAGGCGUGCCAUCCUGCGAUGAUGCAUUCCCUAACUGAAUUUAAGAGGCUGCAAUAGCCGCCGUGCUGUGGCGCAUGCAGAUGCCGCGGUCUGCCGAGCCUCCCUCGGUCGUGUGCAGGUGCCAGCUCCACCCGGACAGCUUAUGCUCGUUUGCUGAGCUGAGUUCUGUACUUGGUUAUUUCAGUGUAGAUGUACCGUCCCGCUGCAUGCAAGCGCAGGCAAGGGAAGUGGCGACAGAGGUUCGGGACAACAAGGUGAGAGGCCCUAGCUUCGUACGUGCACAAGAGCACAGUUUAGCAUCCUAUGCCGCGAAACGAGAGGCAAUCGGGUCCAAGCAACAGUUUUCUGUGCACGAUAAGACUGUGAGGUCUAUGGUCUCUCAUCCCAAGAAUCGUGCCCGACAUAUCGCUUACUGAAAGCGUCUCGGAGGAAAGCCAAACCGUCGCGCCAGGUCCAUGUACUCUUUACCUACAGACAAAAAGACGACCAAAGGUUGCAACCUGAGAAGCUCUGAGAGCAGGUGCAUUAUACGAAAGCACGCACCUCGCGCCUUACGUCCUGUGGUUCUCUAUGGCAUACCGUCAGAGCAAUUACUGCCAACACAGCGCUUAUGCCCACAAGUACAAAUCGACACGGGCAGACCAUGCUCGUCGCGUUCCAACUGUUAAGGCUGCGGUUGCCCACGGUCGCGGCUGCUAAGGCAAAGACUGUGUAAGUACGCCUUAGCUUGGCUUU
RNAcentral lists this long non-coding RNA (3380 nucleotides) under Volvox carteri. RNAcentral's name for it is "long non-coding RNA (VCAR_LNC001482)". The record is from RNAcentral. Lineage: Eukaryota; Viridiplantae; Chlorophyta; Chlorophyceae; Chlamydomonadales; Volvocaceae.